RNAcentral lists this unclassified non-coding RNA (376 nucleotides) under soil metagenome. RNAcentral describes it as "partial contains 5.8S ribosomal RNA, internal transcribed spacer 2, and large subunit ribosomal RNA". The stretch from base 1 to 120 matches the Rfam family "5.8S ribosomal RNA", at positions 35 to 154 of the family's 154-position model. The record is from RNAcentral.
GAUGAAGAACGUAGCGAAAUGCGAUAAGUAAUGUGAAUUGCAGAAUUCAGUGAAUCAUCGAAUCUUUGAACGCAUCUUGCGCUCCUUGGUAUUCUGAGGAGCAUGCCUGUUUGAGUGUCAUUAAAUUCUCAACUACACUGACUUUGAAUUGGUGUGGCUUGGAUUUGGGGGGAAAAUUGUUGUGGGCUUUUUGUAUAGUCUGCUCCCCUGAAAUUGAUUAGCGGUACCUUUGUGGAACUGUCUACAGGUGUGAUAAUUAUCUACAUCUUAGACAUCUGCUGGAAUGCUGCUUUCUAAACCUUACUUGUAUUGACAAUCUUGACCGCAAAUCAGGUAGGACUACCCGCUGAACUUAAGCAUAUCAAUAAGCGGAGGA